RNAcentral lists this ribosomal RNA (549 nucleotides) under uncultured cyanobacterium. RNAcentral's name for it is "bacterial SSU rRNA". It matches the Rfam family "Bacterial small subunit ribosomal RNA", at positions 97 to 670 of the family's 1533-position model. The record is from RNAcentral. Lineage: Bacteria; Bacillati; Cyanobacteriota.
GGCGGACGGGUGAGUAACACGUGAGAAUUUGCCUUUAGGAGGGGGACAACAAUUGGAAACAGCUGCUAAUACCCCAUAUGCUUUCGAGUGAAAUGGAUUUAUAUUUAUCCGCCUAUAGAGAAGCUCGCGGCUGAUUAGCUUGUUGGUAAGGUAAGAGCUUACCAAGGCGACGAUCAGUAUCUGGUUUGAGAGGACGAUCAGACACACUGGAACUGAGACACGGUCCAGACUCCUACGGGAGGCAGCAGUGGGGAAUUUUCCGCAAUGGGCGAAAGCCUGACGGAGCAAUACCGCGUGAGGGAAGACUGCCUAUGGGUUGUAAACCUCUUUUUUCAGGGAGGAAUCAAUGACGUGUACCUGAAGAAUAAGCAUCGGCUAACUCCGUGCCAGCAGCCGCGGUAAGACGGAGGAUGCAAGUGUUAUCCGGAAUCACUGGGCGUAAAGCGUCUGUAGGUGGUUUAAUAAGUCAACUGUUAAAUCUUGAGGCUCAACUUCAAAAUCGCAGUCGAAACUAUUAGACUAGAGUAUAGUAGAGGUAAAGGGAAUUUC